GACUGGUCUGAGUGCCUGUGGUGUUUACAACUAACUGAUCACAAUUAGUUACAGAUUACUUUCUCCCUUCUCCAUUUCCACUGUUUCACUUGACUAACCUAAG
This is an unclassified non-coding RNA of Otolemur garnettii (small-eared galago), 103 nucleotides long. It matches the Rfam family "Y RNA". Rfam says of the family: Y RNAs are components of the Ro ribonucleoprotein particle (Ro RNP), in association with Ro60 and La proteins. The Y RNAs and Ro60 and La proteins are well conserved, but the function of the Ro RNP is not known. In humans the RNA component can be one of four small RNAs -- hY1, hY3, hY4 and hY5. The record is from Ensembl. NCBI's taxonomy places the organism in Eukaryota, Metazoa, Chordata, Mammalia, Primates, Galagidae.